RNAcentral lists this non-coding RNA (27 nucleotides) under Cricetulus griseus (Chinese hamster). The record is from RNAcentral. Lineage: Eukaryota; Metazoa; Chordata; Mammalia; Rodentia; Cricetidae. RNAcentral also lists the same sequence under 1 other name.
UACUCUGGUUUCUCUUCAGAUCGUAUA